ACACUUACCUGGCAGGGGAGACACCUUGAUCAUGAAGGAGGUUUUCCCAGGGUGAGGCUCAUCCAUUGCUGACCCCUGCGAUUUCCCCAAAUGCGGGAAACUCGACUGCAUAAUUUGUGGUAGUGGGGAGGGAAAGAGAGAGAGAGAGAGAGAGAAAGGACUCUAU
Molecule: non-coding RNA, 166 nt
Organism: Podarcis lilfordi (Lilford's wall lizard)
Lineage: Eukaryota; Metazoa; Chordata; Lepidosauria; Squamata; Lacertidae
Source: the annotation of a GenBank genome assembly